AAAAUUAGCGGAUGACCUGUGGCUGGGGGUGAAAGGCCAAUCAAACCGGGAGAUAGCUGGUUCUCCCCGAAAGCUAUUUAGGUAGCGCCUCGUGAAUUCAUCUCCGGGGGUAGAGCACUGUUUCGGCUAGGGGGCCAUCCCGGCUUACCAACCCGAUGCAAACUGCGAAUACCGGAGAAUGUUAUCACGGGAGACACACGGCGGGUGCUAACGUCCGUCGUGAAGAGGGAAACAACCCAGACCGCCAGCUAAGGUCCCAAAGUCAUGGUUAAGUGGGAAACGAUGUGGGAAGGCCCAGACAGCCAGGAUGUUGGCUUAGAAGCAGCCAUCAUUUAAAGAAAGCGUAAUAGCUCACUGGUCGAGUCGGCCUGCGCGGAAGAUGUAACGGGGCUAAACCAUGCACCGAAGCUGCGGCAGCGAACGUAUCACCCAAGACAACUUUACGGAGUUGACGAUUGACGGAGCGAAGCGACGUCAAAGCGUUCAUUAAAGUCGAGUUGGCUUAGGGAUACGUUCGUUGGGUAGGGGAGCGUUCUGUAAGCCUGUGAAGGUGUGUCGUGAGGCAUGCUGGAGGUAUCAGAAGUGCGAAUGCUGACAUAAGUAACGAUAAAGCGGGUGAAAAGCCCGCUCGCCGGAAGACCAAGGGUUCCUGUCCAACGUUAAUCGGGGCAGGGUGAGUCGACCCCUAAGGCGAGGCCGA
This 700-nucleotide ribosomal RNA is filed under the name Salmonella enterica. RNAcentral's name for it is "partial 23S ribosomal RNA". It matches the Rfam family "Bacterial large subunit ribosomal RNA", at positions 793 to 1405 of the family's 2925-position model. The record is from RNAcentral. Lineage: Bacteria; Pseudomonadati; Pseudomonadota; Gammaproteobacteria; Enterobacterales; Enterobacteriaceae.